Molecule: long non-coding RNA, 597 nt
Filed under: Papio anubis (olive baboon)
Lineage: Eukaryota; Metazoa; Chordata; Mammalia; Primates; Cercopithecidae
Description: lncRNA (ENSPANG00000040689.1)
Source: RNAcentral
AAGCGCCUACCCAAGCUGGUUCUCCGAGCCUCUUGAGUCUCUUUGCACCAGGCCUGCGCUCCUCUACAGAUCCCGCAGAUCACGGGCACGCAUUCGCCACCCACCGAACAUCGGCUUGAGGUUAGCAUCAGAGGACAUAUUUACUCUGAACAUGAUAUGUUCAGCUUGGUUUUCUGGAUUCUGGAGGUUGAUGUCAAGAAUGUGUAGGAGAAGACCAAUGAACGGGAGGUCACAGGAUUGGAUAAUAAUAAGAAGAGUGAGGAAAUACACAUGAAUGGCAUCAUGGAUCUGGCAAAUCUACCUAAAACCAGCACUGACCCAGGAAUGAGGAGACCUGGAUUCUAGUCUCACAUCAUGUCCCUCUGAGUUUUAUAAUUCUGGGUAAGUCACUUAACUUCCAUGGCCCUCAGGUUUCUUAUUUUUUGAAACUGUACCAGUUGAGUAGGCUUUUUCCAGGUCUCUCUUUCUGUUUCUUCGACUGUUCUUGCAUGCUAAAAUAUAAACAUAUUUGUUAACUGAUAACAGCUUAAAAGGCAUCUGUCUUCAGGGUCAUUUGUAUUGUAAUAGUAUUCAAAACCUUUCAGAAAAGUUCUAACA